GGUAAAGGUGAGUUGUGAGAGCAUGACCGAACAACCGUCGGUCUAGGGGAGUGCUUAAAUGUGGCACUAGACUAUAUACAUAUUCUACGUAUGUAUAUAUGAAGGUUGCAUUGUGGAGCAAUUAUUUUUCUGGGAAUUGAGUACCCCAUGGAUGUGUAUGGGUAUACAGACAUGGGAAUACUGAAAAGUGUAACGUACUUGUAACGACGCACCUACGCGCAGGUAAGAAAGUAAGUUACCACAAUGGGCUGCCCUGUGGUUAAAAGUGUGGCAGCGGCGCCUAUGCGUGGCUCGGCGCUUAAUGAGGAGCUGGCCUCCAUAUAGAAAUAUAUGGAGUAUAAAUUGUGACCAAAUGUGUGAAUUGCAUCAUGGGAUUUGGGCUGUAAUGGAAUAUUCUGUAGGUACACUGACUAAACUCUAGGAAAUUACGACUAGUUAACUCCGGAGUGAGUAGGUAUGCCACCGCCAUAGAGCGUGCAAGCCACUAUAUGCUAGCAAGAUUGUGAGGACGAAUAGGACGAGCAUGCAUCAUGACAUAUAACUUUAAGUUAAACCCCCUAUGUAGUAGCUUUAGUACGUGUUUCGUCUACCCUGUUCAUGUUGUCUGUCUUUGCCUUUCUAUGCUACCUUUCCUUGUUUUUGAAGACUGGAAGCCAAGUUUAGUUGGUGGGCAGAAUACCUUGUGCUGCAGCCAGAAGGACGUUAAGUUCUUGGGUUGAGUUCUGUGAGGUAUUUCGGGCACGUCAUGUUCCAGAAGCCCCUAUGCAAAUAAAGUUCAAAGCGUUUUUGGAUCUAAAGCAAGGUGAAGAAGCGAGUGUAAUGGACUAUUUGAGAGGUUUACUCGCCUAUCCCAGUAUGUUUUGGAUUUUGUGGAUACUAGUGAGAGGAAAAGGGUAAUACUUCCUACGUGGUUUUAAUGUGAAACUUUAGCUCCUGAUGACAACCAGUUCGACUGAAGGUUAUAAUAAGGUGGUUAGUCAAGCUGUUCUGGGAGAUAAUAAGGUUUGUCUACAUCAGGAGUUUAAGUGAAAGAAGUAAAGAAUAUGCACGAUGUUAAGAAGUUUCUAGAGGUGUUCCCCAAGAUUUUGCUUGGUUUACCUCCGGAAAGGGUCGUGGAAUUUGUGAUCGAGUUGCAGUCCGGAACUCCUAUUACCCUGGAAGUAGUAAGAUGAACCAAUAUUUGGAACAAAUAUUUUGGUGGACCUCUGGCUUAUAAGGUGCAGCUGCCAGAAAAUAUUGCAGCAGUGCCCAACAUAUUCCACGUGUAUCAGUUGAAGAAGUUUCUUCGAGCCCCCGAACUUGUUCUUGAGAUGUCAAAUGUCAAUAUUCAACCAGAUUUAACCUACUCGAGUAUUCCAUAAAGGUUUUGGAUCAAAAGGAUAGGGCCACUCGAAGAAUGUUAUCGAGUUUUACAAGAUACGGUGAAACCAAAACACACGGAAGACCAAGCCACAUGAGAAUUGGAGGAGAAUCUAGAAAAGCAUGUUCCUGAGUUUCUAGUGUCUUGUAAACCUAGGUCUGGUGUGUUUUGUCCUUAACAUAAACCAAAAGAGGUACGCCUCUCGUCUUUUAAGAGUAAUGGGGAAAUAAACUAGUGAUGCAUUUCCUUUUUCCAUUACUUGACCUAGAAUUUUAAAUCUCGGGACGAGAUUCCUUUUUAGGGGGGAAGGAUGUAACACCCCUGGUGUUACAAGAACUAAAAUUUUGGCAUAACAUCAUAUGCAUCCACAUCAUUUUGCUUGAUAUCCCUAGAAUGCAUUUUACUAGGUUAAAAGUUCAACUCAAAUGUGAUGUGUUGUGUUGUUGGGAGCGAGGGAAGAUUAAAAACCCUGUUUGCAAUCAAGUUUAAGUGCACCACUUCUAAACAGUGUCAUUUUGGACAUGAGAUAUAUACACCAAAGUGGGAUCUUAGGUUAAGGAGUAACUCUACUCUUAAGUGAUGAACCCAAAGUGGUGAGAUUGUUGGAGAAAAGCAAUCCCAAUUGAAACCUUAAAGAAGCCCAAAAGUGGAAUUUUAAAUCUAGAGAGAAUUUGCUAAAGGUAUAUAUAUAAAAGUUGUAGGUUUUGGAAAGUUGAACAACUUUCAUGUGUGGAUAUUUCCAAGUUUUAUAGAAAAAGUUGGAGUAAAAUGCUAAAUUCAGUUUUGAUUCAGAUUUGAAGUUUGCUGAAAAUAAUAUCAACUAGCUGUUUUGGUGGCUUUACAACUUUUGAUCUAUAAACAGUUUGAAGGUGGACAAUGUAACAAAGUUGUAGAGCUACACUAGGGGUACAAAUUUGCUUAGGCAACCCAUCCCUAAAACCAUAUGAAACUGGGUGUAAAACUGGUCCAAAGUGGAGCUCACAGAUUUGGAUUUCAGACUUAGUGCAACUUACUAAAUCUGAAUUUUAGUGUUUUUGGUGCAACUUUGGAGCUUCUUUGUGCCUGAUCCAUGGAGUUCUGGGGUAUAUCUCUGCAGCAAAGUUGAAUACCAUAUAAUGGUGAUCAAAUAUUCUUAAGAAAGUUUUGUUUGGUGCUGCACAAAAAUUGAGUAAACUAUGCCCAACCAUUCUUUGUCAGGCAUGUGUGUUCAGUUUCUUGUUUAGUUAGCUGCAGCUGAAUUCUAGUGUUUUUACCUAACUUCAGGGCACUAUAACUUUUGAUCCAUGAAGUUAUAGUCUGCACUCUCUAUAUAAAACUGUUAGAGGGUGGUGUGGGGAGUAAUUUUCAUUAAGUUGGAUCGCCGUGACCUUGCAUAGAACUAGGAGAAAAGCUUGCUCGAAGCUGUGGUGUCAAACAUUUGGGUUUCAGCACUAGGUUCAGUUUAUUGAAGCUGAAAUUCAUUGUUUUUCAUCUGACUUUGGAGUUCUCCUUUGCCUUGUCCAUGGUGUUUCGAGCUGCAUGCCCUAUAGAAAAAUGUUAGGGGAUGGUUUGGUGAACAAAUUUCCUUAAGUAGGUUUGUCUUGAUACUACACAAAUUUGGGAGAAAUGUUGGUCCAAAGAGGGGCUGUCGGGAUUUAAUGUCCGAACUCAGGUUUCAGCCAACUGAAAGACCAAGUUCAGUGUGCUUACUCAGUUUUAGAUCCUUGUUGUGACUAAUCCAUGUGGGUAUGAGCCAUGACUCCUGUAGCAAUGUUGAAGAUCUUUGGUUAGUGAGUAGAUUUCUUAUUAUGAGAUUGGCAUGGUCCUGCACAGAGCUUGCAGUAAACUGUCCCAAAACAUUCACUGUCAGGUUUUGGAUUUCAGCUAACUGAAACAAGAAAGUUCAAUUGGUUUGGGACAACUUUGGGGCAUUAUAACUUUCUAUCAGUGUGUUUUCAGCCAUGUGUUGCUAUAGCAAGUUGUUAGAGGGCAGGAUGGAGAGCGGUUUUUGUUAAUAUACAUUUUUCCCGUUUUUACUUCAAAUCGAGAGAAAAUUCUGCUCCAAGUCGAGUUGUCAGUCUGGGAAAAUGCUGAAUCUUAUUCAGUUAGUAAAAGCCAUGAUUCAACAUUUUCACCCCACUUUGAGGCACAAUAAUUCGUAAUCUGUGAGCUUUCGACCUUGAGUUGCUGCAGCACUUUCUUAGAGCUAUAUUUUGUGAGAAAAUUUUGUUAACAAAGGUCAACAUGUAUUACAUGGAAUUGUGAGGAUCAAAGGGGUUAAGGAUGGGGAUUUAGUUGUUUAGUGCUGAAUUCAGUUUCGGUGACUGAAAACUUGGUUUAGUUUUGGGAGCAGAGAGCUCUCCACGUUGUAGUUAUGCUCCCCAUGUGUCAGUAAUUUAAAGCUGUGGUUAGAGAUGGGAAGAGCUGGUAGUUGGAAGAGAGUUCAACCAAUCCACUAGCUGGGUGUGGGGCUGAACGUGCUUCAGUUUGGAAGAGUGUUCAGCUAAUCCACUAACUUGUGUGCUCCAUGUGCAUGUCGGCAGGAGCUAGCUUGCUUGCCUCCUGUAAUUUGAGCGUUGAGCUCUGCAGGACUGUGAGGCUUGAACGGACACGCGUAGUGGACGUGGCACUGGUUGCAGGGAGCCAGGUUUGUCCCCUAUUCUAGAUGUUUUCCCCUGGUGGUGGCCGACGGUCAUCGAGCUGGGCUGCCACGCAGCUACUUCCUGUCUGUGCCACAUGCAAGAGCUGCCACGCAGCUGUCUGUGUGCUUUCGCUGGGACGUGUGGCUGGCUGCGCGUGCAAUUCUCCUCUCCUUCCUAGUUUAAAAUCCAAAGUGCAGUAAUCUUCCUCCUUCCUUUUUCCUAUUGCUGUGCUCUACAGUUCAAUAAUUUCCCUGCCAUCUCUCGGCCUUUAGUGAAUUUCUCCAUGAGCUUUACUGGUCACCGAACUCGCAUUCGAGUUGACAUGCUUUGCGUCGUUCAACUGGCCAGAGCUCGCCGCAUGUCAUCUCCGGUUCUUCCCAGCCCAUGGUGUGUGUCGCUGCACACUUGCCAGCGGUCGUCGGCCAUCGACCCCACGCUCAUUCUCGCAACCUCACUGCAGCAUCGUCGUUCUCCCAGUUCUGCGCGAACGUCUGUGAACAUCUAGAGAAGAAGCGGUGUCUGAAAAAGGAGUUCACUCCAGAGCCUCUUGAUCCAGUGGUGGAGUUUUAUCUAACUACUUACAGAGUAGAAUAAUUUUGGGAUCUACUCCUGCAAUAAGGCAAGCCCCGGUGCAUUUGCCACCUCCCUUGUGUUUACAAAAUUUUAUCACUUAUAUGCUGCAUUAGGUGAUAGGAGUUGAUUGAUUAAACACUUGAUGCAUUACCAUCCUUGAAAGAUUGAUUACCAUACCUUGUCACCUGUUUUAUAAAAGCUAGAGAUGCUUAGUCAUGCUGAUAGACUAAGAAAAAUGUUUUUGAUCUA
Zea mays is the source of this 4803-nucleotide long non-coding RNA. RefSeq lists it as uncharacterized. Lineage: Eukaryota; Viridiplantae; Streptophyta; Magnoliopsida; Poales; Poaceae. The transcript is spliced from 2 exons. The record is from RefSeq and is a predicted model, not a curated record.